RNAcentral lists this unclassified non-coding RNA (1073 nucleotides) under Pomacea canaliculata. RNAcentral's name for it is "3-oxo-5-alpha-steroid 4-dehydrogenase 1-like, transcript variant X2". Lineage: Eukaryota; Metazoa; Mollusca; Gastropoda; Architaenioglossa; Ampullariidae. The record is from RNAcentral.
ACUUGACCGCGGUACUAUAGCAUCUGUAGCGGUGCAUUCCGUGUCAAAUUGCGGUCUGUACUUGCAGUUAAUGUAGAAACAAGCGAGAUUCAUAAAGGCAUGAUGUUUGGCUACUUGCAGAAUGCGUGGCAGGAUGAAGCUAGAUUCAUGAAUCUUCUGAGUUAUACAUUCAUAGUUCUAUCUGUUUUUGUCGUCUGUAUUCUUGGAUAUGUUAGUGCCCCUUAUGGGCGUUAUUCGCGGCCAGGAUGGGGUCCACUCAUUCCAGUCAGGCUAGCAUGGUUUCUUCAAGAGCUUCCAUCGCUUCUGAUGCCAUUGUAUAUACUAUGCUUUACCGAGUGUCCAAGAGCUGGUGAAUGGAAGAACAAAGUAGCUUUAGGAUUGUUUAUUUUCCAUUAUAUUCAGAGAACCUUUAUAUUUCCAUUCCUUAUUAGAGGUGGAAAACCAACUUCAUUGGCAGCAUUUGUGUCGGCUGUUAUGUUUUGUGUUGCAAAUGGAUACCUGCAAGGAGGUUAUCUGCUCAAAUUUGCAGAUUUUCAGAAUGUUUGUGAUGCACAGUUUUAUGCAGGUUUGUUGUUAUUUCUUUCUGGGUUUGCAAUCAACAUUCAUUCUGAUCACAUCCUACGAAACUUGCGUAGAGGUAGUGAAACCGAGUACAAGAUCCCUCAUGGUGGAAUGUUUGAAUAUGUGUCUGGAGCAAAUUUCUUUGGAGAGAUUUUAGAAUGGUUUGGAUUUGCAAUAAUGAAUAAUACCCUACCUGCCUUUGCCUUUUUUGUCUUCACUUUGUGCAACACUGGACAACGUGCUUGUCAUCAUCACCGGUGGUAUCAAAAGAAGUUUGAAGACUAUCCUAAAAAGAGGAAAGCACUGAUACCAUUCUUGCUAUAAAGAGGGCAUUGGCUGGUUCUGUGGUGCACAGUCGUUUCUGAAAACAAGAAAUUGAUAGAGUUCUGCUCAUCAGCAGAGAACGUUCAACGCACUAAAUGCCCUUCGUCUCCUCCUGGUACUUGGAAGCUGGCACUAGAACGACGACGACGAAGGUGGAGACCAGUGUGAUGAGCAUGAAGAUCCAGAAC